CAAUUUUUCUCAAUGAGUUCAAUAGAAGAGUAUGUUUACAUAUAAAAAGUAAUUUCUUAGCAACUAUUAGAAAACAUAUGAAUAGUCAUACUAAGUGAUAUUAUUUAAUAUAUAUUUGCUAUACAAAUGUAAUAUGUAUUUUACAACUUUUCACUACCCUGAGUGAUUAGUGGAUUGUAACAGGGAACAUCAGGAGGAGCUUGGACUCUUGAAGGAUAUUGUAACAAGCC
This 230-nucleotide long non-coding RNA is filed under the name Mytilus galloprovincialis (Mediterranean mussel). The record is from RNAcentral. Lineage: Eukaryota; Metazoa; Mollusca; Bivalvia; Mytilida; Mytilidae.